UACGUAGGGUGCGAGCGUUGUUCGGAAUCACUGGGCGUAAAGGGUGCGUAGGUGGCGGGGUAAGUCAGAUGUGAAAGCCCGGAGCUCAACCUCGGAACUGCAUCCGAUACUACCUUGCUAGAGUACUGAAGAGGUGACUAGAAUUCUCGGUGUAGCAGUGAAAUGCGUAGAUAUCGAGAGGAAUACCAAAGGCGAAGGCAGGUCACUGGGCAGUUACUGACACUGAGGCACGAAGGCUAGGGGAGCAAACGGG
Molecule: ribosomal RNA, 253 nt
Filed under: uncultured bacterium
Lineage: Bacteria
Description: partial 16S ribosomal RNA
Rfam family: Bacterial small subunit ribosomal RNA
Source: RNAcentral